GAUGAACGCUGGCGGCGUGCUUAACACAUGCAAGUCGAACGAAGCAUUUAGAACGGAUUACUUCGGUUUGAAGUUCUUUAUGACUGAGUGGCGGACGGGUGAGUAACGCGUGGGUAACCUGCCUUGUACUGGGGGAUAGCAGCUGGAAACGGCUGGUAAUACCGCAUAAGCGCACAAUGUUGCAUGACAUGGUGGGAAAAACUCCGGUGGUAUAAGAGGGACCCGCGUCUGAUUAGCUAGUUGGUGAGAUAACAGCCCACAAAGGCGACGAUCAGUAGCCGACCUGAGAGGGUGACCGGCCACAUUGGGACUGAGACACGGCCCAGACUCCUACGGGAGGCAGCAGUGGGGAAUAUUGCACAAUGGAGGAAACUCUGAUGCAGCGACGCCGCGUGAGUGAAGAAGUAAUUCGUUAUGUAAAGCUCUAUCAGCAGGGAAGAUAGUGACGGUACCUGACUAAGAAGCUCCGGCUAAAUACGUGCCAGCAGCCGCGGUAA
RNAcentral lists this ribosomal RNA (497 nucleotides) under uncultured bacterium. Its description in RNAcentral is "partial 16S ribosomal RNA". It matches the Rfam family "Bacterial small subunit ribosomal RNA", at positions 28 to 523 of the family's 1533-position model. The record is from RNAcentral.